CUGAAAUAGUUUAAGAAAAAUAUUGAUUUGUGGAGUCAAAGAUUUAAUUUAAUUUCAGUUU
This 61-nucleotide transfer RNA is filed under the name Blastopsylla occidentalis. RNAcentral's name for it is "tRNA-His". Lineage: Eukaryota; Metazoa; Arthropoda; Insecta; Hemiptera; Aphalaridae. The record is from RNAcentral.